GACAUUUAUGGAAAAUAGUAAGGUAAGGUAGGUACGUCGUGGAAUGGAAGGAAAACAAAUCAAAAAGUCAGAAAAUUUUGAUUCGCCGUGGUUUAUUUUAUUGCAUAGAAGUGAUUUUUUUAAAUCAAAUUUAAGUACAUCUCAAUUAUGCCAGAAGACAAGAAAAAUCAACAAAAGGGAAAAAGUAAUGCAAAGGAGCAAAGAAAGUCGCGUCAGGGCAGGCAGAAAUCUGGACCGACUAAAAUACCAGACCCUUCCUCUAUCGAAAAUAAAACUGAAGCACCAAAAGUAGCACAAGAACCUUUAUAUGAAGAUCCCAGACCAGAGCUCUACAAGAACCUUAAGAGAGAAACUGAUGAAAUACUAAAAAUAACAGAGGAAGCUAACUCUAAAUAUAAGAAGAAAGAAAUUCAAAGCAACUGGAGCAAAUAUGAAAUCCCAGUGGAGAGCUAUGAUGACAUUCAGGAGCAGGAGAACAUGGGUGCCGAUUAUGAGAAAUUAAUUCAAAUGCCUAUGUCAGUUGGUGGGCACUUCCAAUUCAAACAUGAAAAAUCUUGGGACAUUGGCACAGGACCAUCCAUAUAUGAUAAGUACUUUGAAAUAAAUAUGAAUGAUCUUGCCACUGCAUUAUGUACAAUACCUUUCUAUGAAAGAAAUGACAUAGACAGAGAUAUCUUUAGUGAAACUGAUAUAUUAACUAUGGACAGCAGAGCUGUUAAAUAUAAACAAAAAUAUUAUAAUGAUAAAUCUUAUACAACUCCUGAAUUGGAAGCAAGAGACAAAAUAUCAAAUAGUUUAAAAGAUUCAUUCAGCAAAACUCAACCAGGUGACAUUGUCUGCAAAAAUUUAGAUUCUGCAGAGAAAAAUAAUGAUGAUACAGCAGAUGAAACUCCUGCUGCCCUCUCUGUAAAAGACAAUGAUGAAAUAGAUUUCAAAUUAGAAAACAACAAAAAUGUUAUUGAUACUGAUAUUAACAAUGACAUGCAAGCAGUUUGUCAAAGCCAAAAAGUGGUAGAUGUAAUGAAUGAAAUUGAAGAUCUAAUCCUAGAACAUAGCAACUCACUGGUUCAAGACGAAACACCAGCUCCUAAAGCUCAAAACAAUAUCAUUAGAAAUGAUAAGUUAAUAGUAAAAGAAACAUGCGACAAGGCCAUGCCUUCGAAACCAGAGGAAUCGAAAAAUCCAGUUAUAGAAUCUCCUGAAGACCUUGAGAAAUGGCUUGACGAUUUCUUAGAUGGUUGAUGUUAACUUGCAUGUGCUCAUCGUCAGCGCCUUCACUCUGCAACAAGUUGCUUCCACUCCGCAAAUUCUUCCUGUAUUCUCGAUAUGUCGAUCCUUACUGCUUAAUCUCAUUCGACGCCUUACUGCUUGCACAACACUUAACACAUGGACUCAACCAAGCCAGAUUUGAAAUAUCGUAAGGCUCCAUGGCUCGGGAACAUGCUCCACUCACGAGGACUAUCUUCAACCUGCAACAGCUUCGUCGAUCUUAUCUUGGAUGUUGGGAUUUUUUUCAUUUACCGCGUCGCGGUGCUGCAGAUGCAUGUUACAUUGAGGUCUUCAAUAAGAGCUCCCUGAAUGACCACAUCAUAUGGAAUGUAAAAUACAGUGUGUAAUGUAUAUUUUUUGAAGACUUGGAAAUGAGAGAGCCAAUGUUCUUGAGAUAUAGAAGAAGAGUUGGGCGAACUUUUGUAACAACAUGAUUCAUAUUUUUCACAAACGGCCCUUUAAAUUUAUAGUAAAAUAGUUAUGUAAUCAUUGUAAAAUAAUAAUCAAUUACUAAUAUAGUCCGAUUACAUU
Molecule: RNA transcript, 1800 nt
Organism: Plodia interpunctella (Indianmeal moth)
Lineage: Eukaryota; Metazoa; Arthropoda; Insecta; Lepidoptera; Pyralidae
Gene: Aven
Gene name: Apoptosis and caspase activation inhibitor
Exons: 7
Source: RefSeq, a predicted model, not a curated record